GGGAGUGAAUGUGAGAUUGAGAGAGAGGAUGAGAGGGGAGGAUGGGAGGGAGGAGUAACAAAAGUGACAAAAACUUGAAAGUGAAAACAAUUUCAAAUAGAUUUCAGUUUUUAAUUUUUGUUUUCAAUUUUGUUACUUCUCCCUCCCAUCCUCCCCUCUCAUCUUCCCUCUAAAUCCCAUCUUCACUCU
RNAcentral lists this microRNA precursor (189 nucleotides) under Prunus dulcis (almond). RNAcentral's name for it is "sRNA ncRNA". The record is from RNAcentral. Lineage: Eukaryota; Viridiplantae; Streptophyta; Magnoliopsida; Rosales; Rosaceae.